Non-coding RNA from Acanthosepion pharaonis, 106 nucleotides. NCBI's taxonomy places the organism in Eukaryota, Metazoa, Mollusca, Cephalopoda, Sepiida, Sepiidae. The record is from the annotation of a GenBank genome assembly.
UACGGCCAUAUCACUUUCAACUGGUUCUCAUCCGGCCACCGAAGUUAAGCAAAGUUGAGCCUGAAUAGUACGUAGAUGGGUGAUCGCUUGGGAAUACCAGACACUG